Molecule: ribosomal RNA, 492 nt
Filed under: uncultured bacterium
Lineage: Bacteria
Description: partial 16S ribosomal RNA
Rfam family: Bacterial small subunit ribosomal RNA
Source: RNAcentral
AGUGAACGCUGGCGGUAGGCCUAACACAUGCAAGUCGAACGGCAGCACAGUAAGAGCUUGCUCUUACGGGUGGCGAGUGGCGGACGGGUGAGGAAUACAUCGGAAUCUACUUUUUCGUGGGGGAUAACGUAGGGAAACUUACGCUAAUACCGCAUACGACCUACGGGUGAAAGCAGGGGAUCUUCGGACCUUGCGCGAUUGAAUGAGCCGAUGUCGGAUUAGCUAGUUGGCGGGGUAAAGGCCCACCAAGGCGACGAUCCGUAGCUGGUCUGAGAGGAUGAUCAGCCACACUGGAACUGAGACACGGUCCAGACUCCUACGGGAGGCAGCAGUGGGGAAUAUUGGACAAUGGGCGCAAGCCUGAUCCAGCCAUACCGCGUGGGUGAAGAAGGCCUUCGGGUUGUAAAGCCCUUUUGUUGGGAAAGAAAAGCAGCAGGUUAAUACCCCGCCGUUCUGACGGUACCCAAAGAAUAAGCACCGGCUAACUCCGUG